RNAcentral lists this ribosomal RNA (648 nucleotides) under fungal endophyte. Its description in RNAcentral is "eukaryotic LSU rRNA". The stretch from base 149 to 302 matches the Rfam family "5.8S ribosomal RNA". Lineage: Eukaryota; Fungi. The record is from RNAcentral.
UUACUGAGUGAGGACCCCGCGUCCGACCUCCAACCCUCUGUGAACCAACACUGUUGCUUCGGGGGCUCCCCUGCCGUUCGGGCUCGGGGCCCCCGGAGGAAAUCAAAACGCUGCAUCUGUGCGUCGGAGUAUCAAUCAAAUUGAACAAAACUUUCAACAACGGAUCUCUUGGUUCUGGCAUCGAUGAAGAACGCAGCGAAAUGCGAUAAGUAAUGUGAAUUGCAGAAUUCAGUGAAUCAUCGAAUCUUUGAACGCACAUUGCGCCCCGUGGUAUUCCGCGGGGCAUGCCUGUUCGAGCGUCAUUUCACCACUCAAGCCUGGCUUGGUAUUGGGCGUCGCGGCUCCGCGCGCCUCAAAGUCUCCGGCUGAGCUGUCCGUCUCCCAGCGUUGUGACACACGAUCGCUCCGAGUUCGAACAGCCGCGGCCGUUAAACUUCAUCAAAGGUUGACCUCGGAUCAGGUAGGGAUACCCGCUGAACUUAAGCAUAUCAAUAAGCGGAGGAAAAGAAACCAACAGGGAUUGCCCUAGUAACGGCGAGUGAAGCGGCAACAGCUCAAAUUUGAAAUCUGGCGCAAGCCCGAAUUGUAAUUUGUAGAGGAUGCUUCUGGGCAGCGGCCGUUCUAAGUUCCUUGGAACAGGACGUCAUA